Molecule: transfer RNA, 73 nt
Filed under: Minisyncoccota bacterium
Lineage: Bacteria; Bacillati; Minisyncoccota
Description: tRNA-Thr
Rfam family: tRNA
About the family: Transfer RNA (tRNA) molecules are approximately 80 nucleotides in length. Their secondary structure includes four short double-helical elements and three loops (D, anti-codon, and T loops).
Source: RNAcentral
GCCAAUGUAGCUCAGUUGGUAGAGCACGUCCAUGGUAAGGACGGGGUCGCCGGUUCAAUCCCGGCCAUUGGCU